AUACGGUGGAUCCGAGCGUUAUCCGGAUUUAUUGGGUUUAAAGGGUGCGCAGGCGGCCAUUUAAGUCAGCGGUUAAAUCGUGGGGCUCAACCCCAUUCUGCCGUUGAUACUGGGUGGCUUGAUUGCGGUCGAGGUUGGCGGAAUUCGUUGUGUAGCGGUGAAAUGCAUAGAUAUGACGAAGAACACCGAUUGCGUAGGCAGCUGACCAGACCGCAAAUGACGCUCAUGCACGAAAGUGCGGGGAUCGAACAGGAUUAGAUACCCUGGUAGUCCGCACAGUAAACGAUGAAUACUUGUUUUCGGCGAUAUAAUGUCGGAGGCAAAGCGAAAGCGAUAAGUAUUCCACCUGGGGAGUACGCCGGCAACGGUGAAACUCAAAGGAAUUGGCGGGG
This 392-nucleotide ribosomal RNA is filed under the name uncultured bacterium. Its description in RNAcentral is "partial 16S ribosomal RNA". It matches the Rfam family "Bacterial small subunit ribosomal RNA", at positions 523 to 918 of the family's 1533-position model. The record is from RNAcentral.